This 490-nucleotide ribosomal RNA is filed under the name uncultured bacterium. Its description in RNAcentral is "partial 16S ribosomal RNA". It matches the Rfam family "Bacterial small subunit ribosomal RNA", at positions 30 to 507 of the family's 1533-position model. The record is from RNAcentral.
AUUGAACGCUGGCGGCAGGCCUAACACAUGCAAGUCGAACGGUAACAGGAAGAAGCUUGCUUCUUUGCUGACGAGUGGCGGACGGGUGAGUAAUGUCUGGGAAACUGCCUGAUGGAGGGGGAUAACUACUGGAAACGGUAGCUAAUACCGCAUAACGUCGCAAGACCAAAGAGGGGGACCUUCGGGCCUCUUGCCAUCGGAUGUGCCCAGAUGGGAUUAGCUAGUAGGUGGGGUAACGUCUCACCUAGGCGACGAUCCCUAGCUGGUCUGAGAGGAUGACCAGCCACACUGGAACUGAGACACGGUCCAGGCUCCUACGGGAGGCAGCAGUGGGGAAUAUUGCACAAUGGGCGCAAGCCUGAUGCAGCCAUGCCGCGUGUAUGAAGAAGGCCUUCGGGUUGUAAAGUACUUUCAGCGGGGAGGAAGGGAGUAAAGUUAAUACCUUUACUCAUUGACGUUACCCGCAGAAGAAGCACCGGCUAACUCCGUG